RNAcentral lists this small nuclear RNA (46 nucleotides) under Macaca fascicularis (crab-eating macaque). Its description in RNAcentral is "U7 small nuclear RNA (ENSMFAG00000049616.1)". It matches the Rfam family "U7 small nuclear RNA". From Rfam's summary of the family: Animal histone pre-mRNAs are spliced by a different mechanism than nuclear pre-mRNAs and self-splicing introns. This processing involves the U7 snRNP, which contains only one RNA species: U7. Lineage: Eukaryota; Metazoa; Chordata; Mammalia; Primates; Cercopithecidae. The record is from Rfam by way of RNAcentral.
CAGUAUUACAGCUCUUUCAGAAUUUGUCUAGCAGUUUCGAAACUCU